UACAGGGGGUGCAAACGUUGCUCGGAAUUAUUGGGCGUAAAGCGCGCGUAGGCGGCCGCUUAAGUCGGAUGUGAAAGCCCCUGGCUCAACUGGGGAAGUGCACCCGAAACUGAGUGGCUUGAGUACUAAAGAGGGUCGCGGAAUUCCCGGUGUAGAGGUGAAAUUCGUAGAUAUUGGGAGGAACACCAGUGGCGAAGGCGGCUACCUGGACCGGUUCUGACGCUGAGGCGCGAAAGCGUGGGUAGCAAACAGG
RNAcentral lists this ribosomal RNA (253 nucleotides) under uncultured bacterium. RNAcentral's name for it is "partial 16S ribosomal RNA". It matches the Rfam family "Bacterial small subunit ribosomal RNA", at positions 524 to 776 of the family's 1533-position model. The record is from RNAcentral.